This 301-nucleotide ribosomal RNA is filed under the name uncultured bacterium. RNAcentral describes it as "partial 16S ribosomal RNA". It matches the Rfam family "Bacterial small subunit ribosomal RNA", at positions 509 to 809 of the family's 1533-position model. The record is from RNAcentral.
CAGCAGCCGCGGGAAUACGGAGGGUGCAAGCGUUAAUCGGAAUUACUGGGCGUAAAGCGCACGCAGGCGGUCUGUCAAGUCGGAUGUGAAAUCCCCGGGCUCAACCUGGGAACUGCAUUCGAAACUGGCAGGCUAGAGUCUUGUAGAGGGGGGUAGAAUUCCAGGUGUAGCGGUGAAAUGCGUAGAGAUCUGGAGGAAUACCGGUGGCGAAGGCGGCCCCCUGGACAAAGACUGACGCUCAGGUGCGAAAGCGUGGGGAGCAAACAGGAUUAGAUACCCCUGUAGUCCCUGUCUCUUAUAA